AGAGUUUGAUCAUGGCUCAGGAUGAACGCUAGCGGCAGGCUUAAUACAUGCAAGUCGAGGGGCAGCACAGUGUAGCAAUACAUGGGUGGCGACCGGCAAACGGGUGCGGAACACGUACGCAACUUUCCCGGAACUGGGGGAUAGCCCUCCGAAAGGAGGAUUAAUACCCCGUAAUAUAAUUGGAUGGCAUCAUUUGAUUAUUAUAGCUCAGGCGGUUCUGGAUGGGCGUGCGGCUGAUUAGGUAGUUGGCGGGGUAACGGCCCACCAAGCCAGCGAUCAGUAACUGGUGUGAGAGCNNGACCAGUCACACGGGCACUGAGACACGGGCCCGACUCCUACGGGAGGCAGCAGUAAGGAAUAUUGGGCAAUGGACGCAAGUCUGACCCAGCCAUGCCGCGUGGAGGAUGAAGGCCCUCUGGGUUGUAAACUUCUUUUAUUUGGGAAGAACUGUAGGUUUUCUAACUUACUUGACGGUACCAGAUGAAUAAGCACCGGCUAACUCCGUGCCAGCAGCCGCGGUAAUACGGAGGGUGCAAGCGUUAUCCGGAUUCACUGGGUUUAAAGGGUGCGUAGGCGGGCAGUUAAGUCAGUGGUGAAAUCUCCGGGCUCAACCCGGAAACUGCCGUUGAUACUAUCUGUCUUGAAUAACGUUGAGGUGAGCGGAAUAUGUCAUGUAGCGGUGAAAUGCUUAGAUAUGACAUAGAACACCGAUUGCGAAGGCAGCUCACUAAACGCUCAUUGACGCUGAGGCACGAAAGCGUGGGGAUCAAACAGGAUUAGAUACCCUAGUAGUCC
This 795-nucleotide ribosomal RNA is filed under the name uncultured bacterium. RNAcentral describes it as "bacterial SSU rRNA". It matches the Rfam family "Bacterial small subunit ribosomal RNA", at positions 8 to 796 of the family's 1533-position model. The record is from RNAcentral.